CCACCUCGAUUUGCUGGGGACAAAUAAAGUGAAUGUGACUGUCGAUGCCACCCGCUGUGAGGAUAUGUCCUUCUCCGGCGAUCGCCUCAGUGCCGGGGCCAAUAAUGAUAUCAAUAUUAUCCUGAAUAUCUGGGUUGCCCGCCUUACCGAUUUUGUGAAUUUUGCCAUCUUUAAUGCCAAUAUCGGCUUUAACGAUGCCCCACCAAUCAACGAUGAGCGCGUUAGUAAUCACCACAUCAACAGCACCAUCUGCACGAGUCACCGCCGACUGACCCAUGCCAUCGCGG
Molecule: small RNA, 287 nt
Filed under: [Limnothrix rosea] IAM M-220
Lineage: Bacteria; Bacillati; Cyanobacteriota; Cyanophyceae; Chroococcales; Geminocystaceae
Description: Oscillatoria rosea IAM M-220 5' ureB small RNA
Rfam family: 5' ureB small RNA
Source: Rfam by way of RNAcentral